GCCCUCCUCGGACCGGGCUGGGGGAGACGGCUGCUCUCCCAGGGCACCCGGCACGCGGCAUGGGAAUGACCCCUCGGCUGCGUCCUGACAUCUCGGGCCGGCUUGGAAAGCACCAAAGCCUUCCACUUGCUGAGGCGCUCUGACACGCUGGAAAUAGGAAAUACUGCUGAGCAGAGAGCAGGCUGCAGGGGUCUGCUGGGAUCCGCUCCGGACAGCGGCCGGGUCCCGGAGGUGCCCCCGGGAGCAUCCCCCACCGGAGCCCGAGGGCAGAUGCCAGCCCGGCGCUGACUCCCGGCUCCAAGAGCUCCCGCGUCCCGGCAGCUCUUCCCAGGGGGUUUCUCACCCUCGUCAGCCUCGCUGCAUCCCCUCUCGCGAGGGGACGGGGAAGAGUCGGAGGGGCCCGUUGGGACCGCUGAGCCCCCGCGAGCGUCGGGGCAGGGCCGCGGCCGGGCGGCGCGCGGGCUCACCGUGGUUAAGGCCUGCUUCGCCAGGGUCUCGAACGCCUGGGCCACGUUGAUGUCGUUCUUGGCGCUGACCUCGAAGUAUGGGAUGUCUUUUUCCUUGCACCAGGCAGAGGCGAUCUCCUCGGGCACCUGCGAGAAGGGCGGAUGGGGCCGCAGCACGGACCCGCGCAGCGUUGCGGGUGGCCACCGACGAAGGCCACCCUCCUCCCCAUCAGCCCGGGCGCCUCCGGACCUCCCCAGCUUUCCUCCAAGCGCCGCGGGGCAGGGCGGGACGCGGGGAGCGUGGGGGUAUCCAGGACGCUUAGGUCCCGCUGGCCCCGGAGCAGCCGCGCAAGGCGCAGGAGCAGCCGCGCAGGGCUCGGCAUCGGCGUGCCGCCGCUCCUCCGCCCGGGAGCCCCGGCUCCCCGCGACCGAGCUCCAGCACAGGAGAGGCCUGGCUCUGGCUGGAAGACCGGCAUUUUUGAGCCCCUGGGACUCCACGGCGUCUCCGUUCAGCGCACGGGAGUCUCCGGCCGGCCCUUACCUGCCGCUCGCAGAUGUCUAUCUUGUUGCCCAGCACGACCAUGGGGAAGCCUUGCUCCCUGGGGAUGACCUUCUCCAGGAAGUCAUCUCUCCAGUUCUCCAGGGACUCGAAGGACUCCCGGUCGGUCACGUCGAAGGCCAGCAUGCAGCCGUCCGAGCCUUUGUAGAAGGUCGACACCAUGGACCGGAACCGCUCCUGGCCCCCCGUGUCCCAGAUCUAGGGCAGAGCAGGGCAGGGCUGCAGCCCCCCGGCGCGGCAGCACGGAGACGGGCAGCCCUCCGCUCUGCUGGCUCGGGAGAGCGGAGCCUCCGAAACGGCGCGUCACGCGUUCGGUGCCGCUAAACACCUCCAACCCAGUAAACGCAGCCCUGCGCCUGA
Dromaius novaehollandiae (emu) is the source of this 1365-nucleotide long non-coding RNA. RefSeq lists it as uncharacterized. The record is from RefSeq and is a predicted model, not a curated record. The transcript has 2 exons. Lineage: Eukaryota; Metazoa; Chordata; Aves; Casuariiformes; Dromaiidae.